Molecule: non-coding RNA, 1765 nt
Organism: Microcebus murinus (gray mouse lemur)
Lineage: Eukaryota; Metazoa; Chordata; Mammalia; Primates; Cheirogaleidae
Source: RefSeq, a predicted model, not a curated record
CGGCGCGCGGGGGGCGCGAGAGGGCGCCCGGGACCGGCCGGGGGUGGUGGGCGCAGCUUCCGGGGCGCUGGCCUGGUCGCUGCGAUCUCCUGGGAGGGCGCUCCUUUCCCUCCUUGGCCUUUCGUCUCUCUGUUCUCCAGUUCAGCCCUGAACUGAACCCUGUUUCGGCUUUGGCGGUCGGUCUGUCUGAAGAGAGGCUGGCGUUUCCGCUAUUCGGUUUGGGCGCCGCACGAUAGCGAACGACCCUUCUGUCAAGACCGGCGGAAGAAUUGGAAAACCAGAGCGCGGAGGAUUCAGCGCGUCACAUUCGUUCCCAUUAAGUAUCCAGGCAGUACAGUGCGGAGUAGUGACUCAGGACUAGACUGAAAAAUCGCUUUCCUAAUCUAUCAGCUGGUCUUCCCGGGCUCCCUAAUCUGCCCACGCGGGAGGGUUUCCCUGAGGUUAGAAGAGAGAUUUUUGCUUUCAAAAAAGGAGAAAAUCUUACUGUUGUUCACAAUAUGUACACCCGAGAAGGAAAAACCCUGCAAUAAAAAUUUUCCUCAAGAGCAUACACACACACACAAAACCAUGCACUAAGGCUACUACUUGCUGAAGACUGAAUGUUACCUGAUGCCAAGAUGCUGGCUUGGAGAUUUGGCGGUAAACCUCUACUCUCCCUAAUGGACAAGACAGUGUGUUGACAUCUGAGGUCCAUAACAGACGGCGCACAAAACAUGAGAAACUCGUGAGCGAUCCUUAACAGAUGGCGCAAGAAACACAAGAAAACUUGUGAGCAGUACGAAAGGUGUUAGGCAAGUAGUCAAGGUUAACAUCACCAGUGAUGUCAUGUGGGUAUCAUGUACCUGCUGAUAUAUGAGAAGGGCACUUCAUUUAUGUGUUUUACCCCAAAUCCAUAACCCCAGUUUAAUCAUGAGAAAAACAACAGACAAACCCAAAUUUAGAGACAUUCUACAAAAUACCUCACCAUUACUCCUCAAAAUUGUCAAGGUCAUGAAAACAAAGACCAAAGAGCUGUCAAAGGCCAGAGGACACUGAGGAGACAUGAUGACUAAAUGCAACAUGGCAUCCUGGACCGCAUCCAGGACCAGAAAAAAGAAAAUCCAAAUAGUCUGGAGUUUUGGUAACAGCAACAUACCAGUGCUGGUUUCUUCGUUUUGAUAAAUGUCCUAUGGUAAUACAAGAUGUUAACUCUAGGGGGAACUGGGUGAGAGAUACAUGGAACUUGUGAAAUCUGCAACUUUUCUGAUACUACAAGGAUACAAAUGAAGAGAAGCAUGGGGCGCGGUAUGGGGGAAGGGGUGCAGAGCUUCCGUGCCCUCCCCAGGUGUGCCACCCUCCAGGAACCUCCACGUGUUCAGCUAUCCAGAGGUCACUUAUUUCUUUGAUAUGUGAAUCAUUUAAUGACUUGUUGAUACACAGUGAUUUGUUUUUGUCCCCAAACUAACAGAUUAUCAUUUUUCCCUUUGAGGGACAUAUGUGACAUUUGAUACAGUGAGCAUGUGGUGUCCUCUCUCCCUAAAACCACUGGAUAUGGAGCUUAAGCCUACUGAAUAGUAAAGGCCAUCUUACAUAAAUCCAAUAAACUGAGACCAACCAGUGGUAGAGGCUGUUUUAAUGCAUUGUUAUCCCUUAUUGAGCAAUUUUUCUCUCAUGACAAGCAAGCAGCCUCAAGCUGUUGAAUAAAGACACUAUGUCUAGCCAGGCAUGGUGGCUCACGCCUGUAAUCCUAGCACUUGGGGAGGCUGAGGCGGUCGGAUUGCUCAAG